GUCGUCAGCUCGUGCCGUGAGGUGUCGGCUUAAGUGCCAUAACGAGCGCAACCCUUCUCCCCAGUUGCCAUCGGGUAAUGCCGGGCCCUCUGGGGACACUGCCAUCGUAAGAUGCGAGGAAGGUGGGGAUGACGUCAAAUCAGCACGGCCCUUACGUCCGGGGCUACACACGUGUUACAAUGGGGGGUACAGAGGGCCGCUGUCCGGUGACGGUCGGCCAAUCCCUAAAACCCCUCUCAGUUCGGACUGGAGUCUGCAACCCGACUCCACGAAGCUGGAUUCGCUAGUAAUCGCGCAUCAGCCAUGGCGCGGUGAAUACGUUCCCGGGCCUUGUACACACCGCCCGUCAAGCCAUGAAAGCCGGGGGUGCCUGAAGUCCGUGACCGCGAGGGUCGGCCUAGGGUAAAACUGGUGAUUGGGGCUAAGUCGUAACAAGGUAGCCGUACC
RNAcentral lists this ribosomal RNA (447 nucleotides) under Paraprevotella xylaniphila. Its description in RNAcentral is "bacterial SSU rRNA". It matches the Rfam family "Bacterial small subunit ribosomal RNA", at positions 1051 to 1506 of the family's 1533-position model. Lineage: Bacteria; Pseudomonadati; Bacteroidota; Bacteroidia; Bacteroidales; Prevotellaceae. The record is from RNAcentral.